Xiphophorus hellerii (green swordtail) is the source of this 390-nucleotide long non-coding RNA. RefSeq lists it as uncharacterized. The record is from RefSeq and is a predicted model, not a curated record. Lineage: Eukaryota; Metazoa; Chordata; Actinopteri; Cyprinodontiformes; Poeciliidae. The transcript is spliced from 2 exons.
GACGAUUUGGAUUCUCCAGAGUGACUUCCAUCCUGGCUUUUUGAUCUCAAGAUUCUCAGUUGUCAUCGGCUGGCAGUCGGACCUCACCUCCACUUCCGUCAAGUCAUCGCUUACCUGCCCGCCCUCCACCGCAGCCUCCUUGCCGAGGAACCCGCUCGUUUAUGGAAGCUGGAUCCGUUGACUUCAGCCUGGAACCCACAGACUACCUCCCUGAUUGUGCUCAAUCUUUCCCAAGUAAGAACCUGUCUAUUCCCAUCGUAACUCCCGUUUCCCAGUUGACCCGAACUCACCAUCUCCUCCUGUUUCGCAGUUCUCCGCUGUCCUCCAGACUCCACCCCAGGAUCCCCACCACAUCACAUUACUUUGCUUCAAAUAAAAAUCUUUAACUGA